RNAcentral lists this ribosomal RNA (327 nucleotides) under uncultured eukaryote. RNAcentral describes it as "partial 18S ribosomal RNA". It matches the Rfam family "Eukaryotic small subunit ribosomal RNA", at positions 1470 to 1796 of the family's 1831-position model. The record is from RNAcentral.
CCCUUAGAUGUUCUGGGCCGCACGCGCGCUACACUGUUCGACGCAGCGAGUCUUAACCUUGACCGAAAGGUUUGGGUAAUCUUCAGCAAAGUCGAACGUGAUGGGGAUCGAUCAUUGCAAUUAUUGGUCUUGAACGAGGAAUUCCUAGUAAGCAUGAGUCAUCAACUCGUGCUGAUUACGUCCCUGCCCUUUGUACACACCGCCCGUCGCUACUACCGAUUGAAUGGUUUAGUGAGAUCUCGGGAUUGGAGACGUUGCGCCGCAAGGCACAUCGUCCUCGAGAACUUGAUCAAACUUGAUCAUUUAGAGGAAGUAAAAGUCGUAACA